GGGGGAGCUGUCCUGUGAGGGACACAAGGUCAGUGUCUGCCCUUCAGGUACUUGUGAUCUGAAGGAGGAGAGAAAAAAAUGCACAAGACAGCAGAGUCUCCAGGCCAAAUGAAAGAAUCAACUAGCUUUGUUGGAGUUCAGAGGAAAGACUGCCCUGGAGGCCUCAGAGCUAAGGGUAAGCCACAUGGUCACGAUGAAAUACUGGACAUGGGUCUCAGCCCUGGGUCUAGCCAAUUACAAAAGGGAUCCAAAUUCUGGAAGAAGUCACACAUUGACCCCAACCAGAAGGCUGAAGCUACUAAUCAUGAUAUUCCAAUUGCAACAAACCUGAGUGGCUAAGGAGAAAUGGAAAGAGAGGGCAUAUGGGAUCUUAGUUCCCCGACCAGGGAUCAAACCUGCUUUGGGCAUGC
Long non-coding RNA from Bos taurus (domestic cattle), 410 nucleotides. The record is from Ensembl. Lineage: Eukaryota; Metazoa; Chordata; Mammalia; Artiodactyla; Bovidae.